GGUAUUGAUUGGUGCUUGCAUCAUGAUUUACAUUUGAGUGAGUGGCGAACUCGGUGAGUAACACGUGGGAAACCUGCCCAGAAGCGGGGGAUAACACCUGGAAACAGAUGCUAAUACCGCAUAACAACUUGGACCGCAUGGUCCGAGUUUGAAAGAUGGCUUCGGCUAUCACUUUUGGAUGGUCCCGCGGCGUAUUAGCUAGAUGGUGGGGUAACGGCUCACCAUGGCAAUGAUACGUAGCCGACCUGAGAGGGUAAUCGGCCACAUUGGGACUGAGACACGGCCCAAACUCCUACGGGAGGCAGCAGUAGGGAAUCUUCCACAAUGGACGAAAGUCUGAUGGAGCAACGCCGCGUGAGUGAAGAAGGGUUUCGGCUCGUAAAACUCUGUUGUUAAAGAAGAACAUAUCUGAGAGUAACUGUUCAGGUAUUGACGGUAUUUAACCAGAAAGCCACGGCUAACUACGUGCCAGCAGCCGCGGUAAUACGUAGGUGGCAAGCGUUGUCCGGAUUUAUUGGGCGUAAAGCGAGCGCAGGCGGUUUUUUAAGUCUGAUGUGAAA
This 560-nucleotide ribosomal RNA is filed under the name Lactiplantibacillus plantarum. RNAcentral's name for it is "bacterial SSU rRNA". It matches the Rfam family "Bacterial small subunit ribosomal RNA", at positions 68 to 599 of the family's 1533-position model. The record is from RNAcentral. Lineage: Bacteria; Bacillati; Bacillota; Bacilli; Lactobacillales; Lactobacillaceae.